CUCGGGCCCGCCAGUGCCCCAACGGGGCCCUAGUUUUUUCUUUUUCCUCCCCUUUGAACUGGAAAAUGGCCCACUUCCCACUGGCGAAAACUCAUGAAAUUUGGCAGGACGACCGGGCCUGGUGAAAAAUUUGAUAUUCCGAAGUCGCCCAAACAAGAAAAUGCAAAAUGGCUCCAUAGCGCCCCCUAAGGUGAAAAUUCACACUAUUGACUGUCACGCCUCUACGCUUUGUCAAAAUGACACAAAAAUUGACACACACAUGUAUCUCAAUAAGAUCUACAAAAAAGUCAGUGCGGGCGUAUCUGUCAAAUGUACGGUUAAAGGGUUAUUUCGCAUUUUUUGCCGAUCCGCACACAUUGGAAUUUCGCUAACUCCUCCGAAGGCUUUCGUUCCACCGGCACCACAUUUGCUCAGGCCAAUCUACACCCCAUGGCCAUUAAAAGUUAUUCAAAUCAUGACGCUGCACCCCACGGUUUAGGUUCUAGGGGGCGCCAAAGAUAACCCUAAAAUCCACAUAUUUAAAAGUCUUAUAACUUUUUAUUUUUGCCCUCACUGGCCUCCAAGUUUUCUAGGAUGAUGCAAUGUCCAGCCAUCAACACAUUUGUGAAGGAAUUUUUACUCCCCAAAAGAGCGCCCCCCCAUGGCAGGAGAAAAAAGUCAAUUUUUUCUUGUCCCCUAAGGUGAAAAUUCACACUAUUGACUGUCACGCCUGUACGCUUUGUCAAAAUGACACAAAAAUUGACACACACAUGUAUCUCAAUAAGAUCUACAAAAAAGUCCGUGCGCGCGUAUCUGUCUAAUGUACGGUUAAAGGGUUAUUUCGCAUUUUUUGCCGAUCCGCACACAUUGGAAUUUCGCUAACUCCUCCGAAGGCUUUCGUUCCACCGGCACCACAUUUGCUCAGGCCAAUCUACACCCCAUGGCCAUUAAAAGUUAUUCAAAUCAUGACGCUGCACCCCACGGUUUACGUUCUAGGGGGCGCCAAAGAUAACCCAAAAAUCCACAUUUUUAAAAGUCUUAUAACUUUUUAUUUUUGUCCUCACUGGCCUCCAAGUUUUCUAGGAUGAUGCAAUGUCCAGCCAUCAACACAUUUGUGAAGGAAUUUUUACUCCCUAAAAGAGCGCCCCCCCAUGGCAGGAGAAAAAAGUCCAUUUUUUCUUGUCCCCUAAGGUGAAAAUACACAUUGUUGACUGUCACGCCUGUACGCUUUGGCAAAAUGACACAAAAAUUGACAAUCAUAUGUAUCUCAAUUAGAUCUACGAAAAAGUCAAAGAGCGCGUAUCUGUAUAAUGUACGGUAAAAGGGCUAUUUUGCAUUUUUUGCCGAUUCGCACACAUUGGAAUUUCGCUAACUCCUCCUAAGGCUUUCGUCCCACUGACACCAAAUUUGCUCAGGCCAAUCUACACUCCAUGGCCAUUCAAAGUUGUAAAAAUCAUGACGCUGCACCCCACGGUUUACGUUUUAGGGGGCGCCAAAGAUGACCCAAAUAUACAUUACAGUAGACAAAGUAGUUUUGCCCACUGAGUGGCGCCAAAGGGACUUGUCUGUGGAGUCUGUGAGUCACUAUUGGCCGUUUUUGACUACUUUAGAUUUUACCUUUAUAUUUCCUCUUACAAGAUUUUUACCUUGCCUUGCCUGGUAUCAUUUUUUUCAGCACAACCUCACCUGUGUCAAUUUACAGUUAUUUUAUCAUUUUGACAUACUAUAUUUACACAUUGGACCCAAAUUCACACACAAAACAUAAAAUCCGAGUGGAAAAAAGUAACGUUUUUACUGUGAAAACCACAAAUAUGUGUGAUGAACUGUUUUUAAAACUUAAACUUCAAAUAAAAAUUGUAAACUUCAAAACAUAUGCAAAUUUUUAACAAAGAACAUAGUAAUUUACCUCUAUUUACAUCAAAAUGCAGGCAAUGGCCCAGGUGUUCUUUGUAAAAUUAUUUACAAAACACUGUAUAGUCUCACAAAUGUCACUUUUUAUUUAUGCCACUACAAAAAAACAUGAUGUAAAUGAUGCAUGAUGUAAAACAUGAUGUAAAAAACUUGUGUAGAUCCUCCUCUAUGUUAGUCCAUGUGUAAUUUUUCCAUAAUUCUUUGUUUUUUGCAGCAUUUUUGUUAGUGUAACUGCAGAUUGUGCUGACAGUGUCUAUGGCAAAAAAAAAAAAAAAAACUGAAAAUGCCUCAACAUGAACCCCUGGUGGUCUCUGAGGGUGAAACCUGCUAACUGCUGCAGCUCUGUCAGCUUCAGUCUCCCAUGCAGAGCUCGGAGCGCAUGUGUGGCUCUGCACCCUUAGCAGCGUUGCUAACUCCUCAGUAAGGAAAGCCUGCUUCAUGUCAGAGUCUCUAAACUCCAGAAGAAGUCGAUAAAAGUCACUUUCUUUCUAAAAAAAAGUCGUUAGGGGGUCUGAAAAGUCAUUGAAUCUAACAACAAAGUUGCUAGGUUUGCAACUACGUGUCCCAGACUGCAUCCCUGCUGAGAGUCCCUCCCUCCCUUCUCAUGUUGCAGGAAGAACGUAAGUUCCCGCCCCUUGUCAAUCAGUCACCAUAUAAUUUUGGAUUGGUUGUUGUGGUGAAGUUUUCCACCAAUAGGAGAGAUGUUGUGGUGUGUAUUUUUUUUCCUUUGGCAAGCCUUUUCCGCCUGUAAGACCUGUCGCUAAUGUCUGCAUACUAUGUUUUCCUGUCUCAUACAGCGCGAUCGAGCGCCGAACGUGAUCAAAAUAAGCAGAAAACAAGUAUCGCGGACAUAAUUUAUCAUAACUCUGGUUUUAUUUGGCCUAUCAACACAAUUUAAAAACUGGUAUAUAGGUUGAGGUCCUCACUUUUGAGAUAAAUUGAAACGGAGAGUCAACGAGGCUCCGUCUUGCAGCUACAUCCGGUUAAAUAUGUCAUGUGACUUGAACGCACACACACACACACACACAGACACACACACACACGCACACACACACACUCAGAGUCUGGUUUGUAGCACCUGCAAAAACAUGCUAUUUACAUAUUUGACAAGAAUGCAGAGGCUCCUUUUGCCCCUGAAAAAAAUCAAAUUUCAAACACAACUUGACUGCUCAUUUCUCCAAAAGACAACCAUGAAGCUCCAUCCAAACCUGAAGCAGGCAGUUGGUGCAUGUGUACAGUAACCUGAGGGGAGUGAGGUGACUGCUUCUGAGGAGAACAUGAGCAGUGAAGAUUUACCUUAGAGCUAGAACAGAGACGUGCACAUGAUUAUACAGGGGCAGGGGCUCAAGUUUUUUCCAGUCGUUUAUACAAUUUGGAAAUUAAUGUGAAAUUAAAAAACAAAGUAUUAAUAGAAAGGUAAUGACUGUCCUGUGUAGGUGACAGUGAUAUCCAAUAGGCUAGGCACUCACGAGGCUGGCUGUGGCAAGUGUAAGUGAAAGCAACACGCACUGGCAGGAAGAACAGCAAACGCCGAUGAAGGAAAAGGGUCUUUGCAGUGAUGGGCGUUACCAAAGAGGGCGAUGGCCAGAGGACACAAAUGGGACGGGGAGGCAGCGCGUUGGGGGGGGGACGCGACACAGCUCGGGCCCGCCAGUGCCCCAACGGGGUCCUAGUUAGGGCCCGAGCGUAGCUGCUAAGCAGCUGCGAGAGCCCUCUUGUUCCUGCAUGUUUCCUUCUUUUGUUAUUAUUAUUAUUUUUCCUCCCCUUUGAACUGGAAAAUGGCCCACUUCCCACUGGCGAAAACUCAUGAAAUUUGGCAGGACGACCGGGCCUGGUGAAAAAUUUGAUAUUCCGAAGUCGCCCAAACAAGAAAAUGCAAAAUGGCUCCAUAGCGCCCCCUAAGGUGAAAAUUCACACUAUUGACUGUCACGCCUGUACGCUUUGUCAUAUUGACACAAAAUUUGACACACACAUGUAUCUCAAUAAGAUCUACAAAAAAGUCAGUGCGGGCGUAUCUGUAAAAUGUACGGAUAAAGGGUUAUUUCACAUUUUUUGCCGAUCCGCACACAUUGGAAUUUCGCUAACUCCUCCGAAGGCUUUCGUUCCACCGGCACCACAUUUGCUCAGGCCAAUCUACACCCCAUGGCCAUUAAAAGUUAUUCAAAUCAUGACGCUGCACCCCACGGUUUAGGUUCUAGGGGGCGCCAAAGAUAACCCUAAAAUCCACAUAUUUAAAAGUCUUAUAACUUUUUAUUUUUGCCCUCACUGGCCUCCAAGUUUUCUAGGAUGAUGCAAUGUCCAGCCAUCAACACAUUUGUGAAGGAAUUUUUACUCCCCAAAAGAGCGCCCCCCCAUGGCAGGAGAAAAAAGUCCAUUUUUUCUUGUCCCCUAAGGUGAAAAUACACAUUGUUGAGUGUCACACCUGUACGCUUUGUCAAAAUGACACAAAAAUUGACACACACAUGUAUCUCAAUAAGAUCUACGAAAAAGUCAAUGCGCGCAUAUCUGUCAAAUGUACGGUUAAAGGGUUAUUCCGCAUUUUUUGCCGAUUCGCACACAUUGGAAUUUCGCUAACUCCUCCGAAGGCUUUCGUUCCACCGGCACCACAUUUGCUCAGGCCAAAUUACACCCCAUGGCCAUUAAAAGUUAUUCAAAUCAUGACGCUGCACCCCACGGUUUACGUUCUAGGGGGCGCCAAAGAUAACCCAAAAAUCCACAUUUUUAAAAGUCUUAUAACUUUUUAUUUUUGUCCUCACUGGCCUCCAAGUUUUCUAGGAUGAUGCAAUGUCCAGCCAUCAACACAUUUGUGAAGGAAUUUUUACUCCCUAAAAGAGCGCCCCCCCAUGGCAGGAGAAAAAAGUCCAUUUUUUCUUGUCCCCUAAGGUGAAAAUACACAUUGUUGACUGUCACGCCUGUACGCUUUGGCAAAAUGACACAAAAAUUGACAAUCAUGUGUAUCUCAAUUAGAUCUACAAAAAAGUCAAAGAGCGCGUAUCUGUAUAAUGUACGGUAAAAGGGCUAUUUUGCAUUUUUUGCCGAUUCGCACACAUUGGAAUGUGGCUAUCUCCUCCUAAGGCUUUCGUCCCACUGAUACCAAAUUUGCUCAGGGCAAUCUACACCCCAUGCCCAUUCAAAGUUGUAAAAAUCAUGACGCUGCACCCCACGGUUUACGUUCUAGGGGGCGCCAAAGAUGACCCAAAAAUCCACAUUCUUAAAAGUUAUUUUGGCCACUGCAGGAGUACAGAGUACUGCAGUUCUAGGGGGCGCCAAAGAUGACCCAAAAAUCCACAUUCUUAAAAGUCUUUUUGGCCACUGCAGGAGUACAGAGUACUGCAGGAUACACACACAUAUACACACACGCCAACACACACACACACACACACACACACACACACACACACACACACACACACACACACACACACAGAGUCUGUUUUUUAGCACCUGCAAAAACAUGCUGUUUACAUAUUUGACAAGAAUGCAGAGGCUUCCUUUUGCCCCUGAAAAAAUCAAAUUUCAAACACAACUUGACUGUUAAUUUCUCCAAAAGACAACCAUGAAGCUCCAUCCAAACCUGAAGCAGAUAGUUGGUGCAUGUGUACAGUAACCUGAGGGGAGUGAGGUGACUAUUUCUGAGGAGAACAUGAGCAGUGAAGAUUCACCUUGGAGCUAGAACAGGGACGUGCACAUGAUUAUACAGGGGCAGGGGCUCAAGUUUUUUCCAGUCAUUUAUACAAUAUGGAAAUUAAUGUGAAAUUAAAAAACAAAGUAUUAAUAGAAAGGUUAUGACUGUCCUGUGUAGAUGACAGUGAUAUCCAAUAGGCUAGGCACUCACGAGGCUGGCUGUGGCAAGUGUAAGUGAAAGCAACACGCACUGGCAGGAAGAACAGCAAACGCCGAUGAAGGAAAGGGUCUUUGCAGUGAUGGGCGUUACCAGAGAGGACGAUGGCCAGAGGACGCGAAUGGGACGGGGAGGCAGCGCGUUGGGGGGGGCAGCGCGACACGGCUCGGGCCCGCCAGUGCCCCAACGGGGCCCUAGUUCUUCUUUCUUUCUUCUUUUUCCUCCCCUUUGAACUGGAAAAUGGCCCACUUCCCACUGGCGAAAACUCAUGAAAUUUGGCAGGACGACCGGGCCUGGUGAAAAAUUUGAUAUUCUGAAGUCGUCCAAACAAUAAAAUGCAAAAUGGCUCCAUAGCGCCCCCUAAGGUGAAAAUUAACACUAUUGACUGUCACGCCUCUAUGCUUUGUCAAAAUGACACAAAAAUUGACACACACAUGUAACGCAAUAAGAUCUACAAAAAAGUCAGUGCGGGCGUAUCUGUCAAAUGUACGGUUAAAGGGUUAUUCCGCAUUUUUUGCCGAUCCGCACACAUUGGAAUUUCGCUAACUCCUCCGAAGGCUUUCGUUCCACCGGCACCACAUUUGCUCAGGCCAAUCUACACCCCAUGGCCAUUAAAAGUUAUUCAAAUCAUGAUGCUGCACCCCACGGUUUAGGUUCUAGGGGGCGCCAAAGAUAACCCUAAAAUCCACAUAUUUCAAAGUCUUAUAUCUUUUUAUUUUUGUCCUCACUGGCCUCCAAGUUUUCUAGGAUGAUGCAAUGUCCAGCCAUCAACACAUUUGUGAAGGAAUUUUUACUCCCCAAAAGAGCGCCCCCCCAUGGCAGGAGAAAAAAAUCCAUUUUUUCUUGUCCCCUAAGGUGAAAAUACACAUUGUUGAGUGUCACGCCUGUACGCUUUGGCAAAAUGACACAAAAAUUGACACACACAUGUAUCUCAAUAAGAUCUACAAAAAAGUCAAUGGGCGCGUAUCUGUCAAAUGUACGGUUAAAGGGUUAUUCCGCAUUUUUUGCCGAUACGCACACAUUGGAAUUUCGCUAACUCCUCCGAAGGCUGGCGUUCCACCGGCACCACAUUUGCUCAGGCCAAAUUACACCCCAUGGCCAUAAAAAGUUAUUCAAAUCAUGACGCUGCACCCCACGGUUUAGGUUCUAGGGGGCGCCAAAGAUAACCCUAAAAUCCACAUAUUUAAAAGUCUUAUAACUUUUUAUUUUUGUCCUCACUGGCCUCCAAGUUUUCUAGGAUGAUGCAAUGUCCAGCCAUCAACUCAUUUGUGAAGGAAUUUUUACUCCCCAAAAGAGCGCCCCCCCCCAUGGCAGGAGAAAAAAGUCCAUUUUUUCUUGUCCCCUAAGGUGAAAAUACAUAUUGUUGAGAUUCACGCCUGUACGCUUUGUCAUAUUGACACAAAAUUUGACAAUCACGUGUAUCUCAAAAAGAUUUAUGAAAAAGUCAAUGCGCGCGUAUCUGUCAAAUGUACGGUUAAAGGGCUAUUUUGCAUUUUUUGCCGAUCCGCACACAUUGGAAUUUCGCUAACUCCUCCUAAAGCUUUCGUCCCAUGGGCACCAAAUUUGCUCAGGCCAAUCUACACCCCAUGGCCAUUCAAAGUUGUAAAAAUCAUGAUGCUGCACCCCACGGUUUACGUUCAAGGGGGCGCCAAAGAUAACCCAAAAAUCCCCAUUUUCAAAAGUCUUAUAACUUUUUAUUUUUGUCCUCACUGGCCUCCAAGUUUUCUAGGAUAAUGCAAUGUUCAGCCAUCAACACAAUUGUGAAGGAAUUUUUACUCCCCAAAAGUUCGCCCCCCCAUGGCCGGAGGAAAAGUCAAGUUUUUCCUGCCCAUCGCUCAAUGGCUUAAACGCAUCGCCCUCUCGGCAAAACCAAAAGGAGGAGCAACUUGCCAUUUGGAUAUAUCCUAGCUGUGUUUGUGCCCUCACUCAUGGUCCAGACUUUUUUCAAAUAAGACAUGGAGUUUUUCUGCAGCGAGCGUUUUGGUAGAAACUGCGCCUCCCAUUCAUUAUAAUGGUAAAUGACCACAGACAAGUGCGCACACCAUCUUUGGACCUUGAGUGUGCCGCGAUCGGAAGGGGGGGGGGCGUCGCGCUGGGGGCGGCACAACAUGGCUCGGGCCCGCCAGUGCCCCACCGGGGCCCUAGUCUUUGUUAGGGCCCGAGCGUAGCUGCUAAGCAGCUGCGAGAGCCCUCUUGUUAGGGCCCGAGCGUAGCUGCUAAGCAGCUGCGAGAGCCCUCUUGUUCCUGCAUGUUUCCUUCUUUCGUUAUUAUUUUUCCUCCGCUUUAAACUGGAAAAUGGCCCACUUCCCACUGGCGAAAACUCAGGAAAUUUGGCAGGACGACCGGGCCUGGUGAAAAAUUCGAUAUUCUGAAGUUGCCCAAACAAUAAAAUGCAAAAUGGCUCCAUAGCGCCCCCUAAGGUGAAAAUUCACAUGACGGCUGUACGCUUUGUCAUAUUGACACAAAAAUUGACACACACAUGUAUCUCAAUAAGAUCUACAAAAAAGUCAGUGCGGGCGUAUCUGUCAAAUGUACGGUUAAUGGGUUAUUUUGCAUUUUUUGCAGAUCUGCACACAUUGGAAUUUCGCUAACUCCUCCGAAGGCUUUCGUUCGACCGGCACCACAUUUGCGCAGGCCAAUCUACCCCCCAUGGCCAUUAAAAGUUGUACAAAUCAUGACGCUGCACCCCACGGUUUACGUUCUAGGGGGCGCCAAAGAUAACCCAAAAUCCACAUUCUUAAAAGUCUUAUAACUUUUUAUUUUUGUCCUCACUGCCCUCCAAGUUUUCUAGGAUGAUGCAAUGUCCAGCCAUCAACACAUUUGUGAAGGAAUUUUUACUCCCCAAAAGAGCGCCCCCCCAUGGCAGGAGAAAAAAGUCAAUUUUUUCUUGUCCCCUUACAUGAAAAUACACAUUGUUGAGUGUCACGCCUGAACGCUUUGUCAUAUUGACACAAAAAUUGACAAUCAUGUGUAUCUCAAUUAGAUCUACGAAAAAGUCAAAAAGCGCGUAUCUGUAUAAUGUACGGUUAAAGGGCUAUUUCGCAUUUUUUGCCGAUUAGCACACAUUGGAAUGUGGCUAUCUCCUCCUAAGGCUUUCGUCCCACCGAUACCAAAUUUGCUCAGGGAAAUCUACACCCCAUGCCCAUUCAAAGUUGUAAAAAUCAUGCCGCUGCACCCCAUGGUUUACGUUCUAGGGGGCGCCAAAGAUGACCCAAAUAUCCACAUUCUUAAAAGUCGUUUUGGCCACUGCAGGAGUACAGAGUACUGCAGGAUACACACACACAGACACACACACACACAGACACACACACACACGCACACACACACACACACACACACACACACACACACACACACACACACACACACACAUACACACUCAGAGUCUGUUUUUCAGCACCUGCAAAAACAUGCUAUUUACAUAUUUGAAAACAAUGCAGAGACUUCCUUUUGCCCCUGAAAAAAAUGAAAUUUCAAACACAACUUGACUGCUCAUUUCUCCAAAAGACAACCAUGAAGCUCCAUCCAAACCUGAAGCAGGCAGUUGGUGCAUGUGUACAGUAACCUGAGGGGAGUGAGGUGACUGCUUCUGAGGAGAACAUGAGCAGUCAAGAUUCACCUUGGAGCUAGAACAGGGACGUGCACAUGAUUAUACAGGGGCAGGGGCUCAAGUUUUUUCCAGUCGUUUAGACAAUAUGGAAAUUAAUGUGAAAUUAAAAAACAAAGUAUUAAUAGAAAGGUAAUGACUGUCCUGUGUAGGUGACAGUGAUAUCCAAUAGGCUAGGCACUCACGAGGCUGGCUGUGGCAAGUGCAAGUGAAAGCCACACGCACUGGCAGGAAGAACAGCAAACGCCGAUGAAGGAAAAGGGUCUUUGCAGUGAUGGGCGUUACCAGAGAGGACGAUGGCCAGAGGACGCGAAUGGGACGGGGAGGCAGCGCGUUGGGGGGGGGGGGGGGGGCGCAACACAGCUCGGGCCCGCCAGUGCCCCAACGGGGCCCUAGUUCCUGCAUGUUUCCUUCUUUUGUUAUUAUUAUUAUUUUUCCUCCCCUUUAAACUGGAAAAUAGCCCACUUCCCACUGGCGAAAACUCAUGAAAUUUGGCAGGACGACCGGGCCUGGUGAAAAAUUUGAUAUUCUGAAGUCGCCCAAACAAUAAAAUGCAAAAUGGCUCCAUAGCGCCCCCUAAGGUGGAAAUUCACACAAUUGACUGUCACGCCUGUACGCUUUGUCAAAAUGACACAAAAUUUGAC
This is a non-coding RNA of Xyrichtys novacula (pearly razorfish), 9982 nucleotides long. The record is from the annotation of a GenBank genome assembly. Lineage: Eukaryota; Metazoa; Chordata; Actinopteri; Labriformes; Labridae.